This 519-nucleotide ribosomal RNA is filed under the name Acinetobacter sp. RNAcentral describes it as "bacterial SSU rRNA". It matches the Rfam family "Bacterial small subunit ribosomal RNA", at positions 223 to 733 of the family's 1533-position model. The record is from RNAcentral. Lineage: Bacteria; Pseudomonadati; Pseudomonadota; Gammaproteobacteria; Moraxellales; Moraxellaceae.
AGAUGAGCCUAAGUCGGAUUAGCUAGUUGGUGGGGUAAAGGCCUACCAAGGCGACGAUCUGUAGCGGGUCUGAGAGGAUGAUCCGCCACACUGGGACUGAGACACGGCCCAGACUCCUACGGGAGGCAGCAGUGGGGAAUAUUGGACAAUGGGGGGAACCCUGAUCCAGCCAUGCCGCGUGUGUGAAGAAGGCCUUUUGGUUGUAAAGCACUUUAAGCGAGGAGGAGGCUACUCUAGUUAAUACCUAGAGAUAGUGGACGUUACUCGCAGAAUAAGCACCGGCUAACUCUGUGCCAGCAGCCGCGGUAAUACAGAGGGUGCAAGCGUUAAUCGGAUUUACUGGGCGUAAAGCGCGCGUAGGUGGCCAAUUAAGUCAAAUGUGAAAUCCCCGAGCUUAACUUGGGAAUUGCAUUCGAUACUGGUUGGCUAGAGUAUGGGAGAGGAUGGUAGAAUUCCAGGUGUAGCGGUGAAAUGCGUAGAGAUCUGGAGGAAUACCGAUGGCGAAGGCAGCCAUCUGGC